RNAcentral lists this ribosomal RNA (271 nucleotides) under uncultured bacterium. RNAcentral describes it as "partial 16S ribosomal RNA". It matches the Rfam family "Bacterial small subunit ribosomal RNA", at positions 334 to 602 of the family's 1533-position model. The record is from RNAcentral.
AACACCUACGGGGGGCAGCAGUGAGGAAUAUUGGUCAAUGGACGCAAGUCUGAACCAGCCAUGCCGCGUGCAGGAUGACGGCUCUAUGAGUUGUAAACUGCUUUUGUACGAGGGUAAUAUCAGAUACGUGUAUCUGCUUGAAAGUAUCGUACGAAUAAGGAUCGGCUAACUCCGUGCCAGCAGCCGCGGUAAUACGGAGGAUGCGAGCGUUAUCCGGAUUUAUUGGGUUUAAAGGGUGCGUAGGCGGAUUUUUAAGUCAGCGGUAAAAUGU